AACUAGCCUGUGAAACUGCCACAGUUCAACAGGUACCUGUCGAACCACAGUUGUUUCAUAGGUUCCUCUGUCGAGCCAUAGUUGUUCGACAGGGUG
Molecule: microRNA precursor, 96 nt
Filed under: Oryza glumipatula
Lineage: Eukaryota; Viridiplantae; Streptophyta; Magnoliopsida; Poales; Poaceae
Description: pre miRNA MIR439
Source: RNAcentral